UUGAUCUUAUCUGAGCAGUGGGCUGCGGAGAAGACGGCGACGGAGAAUGUGACCGGCGUAGUUGGGGAGGAGCUACCGCCUUACAUAUAUAGGGUUAAUGGAGGCUCCGUUCAUCUCUUUCUGGCCGGUCAAUUUUUCGGGACCCCUUUUCCCUGCUUUACUGCGAUGAAGACUGUUCGCCAUCUGAGCCUAUCGAAUAAAUCGGGGCGAUGAGGGUUUGAGCGGACUUG
Molecule: long non-coding RNA, 230 nt
Filed under: Solanum lycopersicum (tomato)
Lineage: Eukaryota; Viridiplantae; Streptophyta; Magnoliopsida; Solanales; Solanaceae
Description: partial TCONS_00161836
Source: RNAcentral